This is a long non-coding RNA of Toxotes jaculatrix (banded archerfish), 735 nucleotides long. RefSeq lists it as uncharacterized. NCBI's taxonomy places the organism in Eukaryota, Metazoa, Chordata, Actinopteri, Toxotidae. The transcript has 3 exons. The record is from RefSeq and is a predicted model, not a curated record.
GGCAAGAGUUGUUAUGCUGUAGCUCUUAAAGGGUGUGUGUGUGUGUGCUUGCGUUUGUGCAUGUGAGUAGUUCUGUGGUUUCUCAGAAGCAACACAUUUAAGGAACAGCUGAUGGGCUGCAAAUGGAGGAGGUAUGGCUUCUCAAUCAGCACAGUCAACACGUAGCUCACCACCAGCGUCAGCACCAGGUGGCCAAGGAACAGGUACAUCUAUAGGAGAGAGGAGACAGACAGCACGGCCAGUAUGAUCCAGGCCACAGCGAGAGCCCAGAGUGGUCUGUGCAGUCCUUGAUAGAGGGCAUGUGGCACUGAUGGAUAAGGUGGGGUAUCCUUGAGGACGUAGGCCAAUCCAACCACCGCAGCCAUGACAGAAAAACAGCAGAACCAACCAAGUGCUGCCUGCCACUGGAACAACAGCAACAGUAAACACAUACAUCUGAUGGCAGCUUAGUGGCUUGUAUGUGUACUUAAUCUGGUUGGCUUAAUAAUAUAUAGCAAAUGAUGUGCUGAAAUGUCUGCUAAAAAAAACAACAAAAAAAAACAUACGUAGUGAUUCUGUCAGAAAUACCUUCUCCUUUAAAAGCUGAUCUUUCUUUGUCAUCAGGUAUAUUCCAGUCAAGAUCCCAAUUAAAAAUGGCCCAUAUCUUGUGUAGGGUUUCACAUAGUACUGUAAGACAUAAUUGUAAGAUGUCCUGCAAAAUAAAUAUAUAAAAUUAAAUAAAGAAAAUUAAAUAAA